AGAGUUUGAUCCUGGUUCAGAACAAACGCUGGCGGCGUGCCUAACACAUGCAAGUCGUACGAGAAAGUCCGCUUCGGUGGAUGAGUAAAGUGGCGCACGGGUGAGUAACGCGUGGAUAAUCUACCCUUUAGUCUGGAAUAACUUAUCGAAAGGUGAACUAAUACCGGAUAAUAUCCCGAUUUCUUCGGCGAUCGGGAUCAAAGAAGGCCUCUGCUUGCAAGCUUUCACUGAAGGAUGAGUCCGCGUACCAUUAGCUAGUUGGCAGGGUAAUGGCCUACCAAGGUUAUGAUGGUUAGCUGGUCUGAGAGGAUGAUCAGCCACACUGGAACUGAAACACGGUCCAGACUCCUGCGGGAGGCAGCAGUGAGGAGUAUUGCGCAAUGGGGGCAACCCUGACGCAGCAACGCCGCGUGAGUGAGGAAGGUUUUCGGAUUGUAAAGCUCUGUCGAGCGGAAAGAAGUGC
RNAcentral lists this ribosomal RNA (463 nucleotides) under uncultured Syntrophaceae bacterium. RNAcentral describes it as "bacterial SSU rRNA". It matches the Rfam family "Bacterial small subunit ribosomal RNA", at positions 8 to 453 of the family's 1533-position model. Lineage: Bacteria; Pseudomonadati; Thermodesulfobacteriota; Syntrophia; Syntrophales; Syntrophaceae. The record is from RNAcentral.